CCUACGGGAGGCAGCAGUGGGGAAUUUUACGCAAUGGGCGAAAGCCUGACGUAGCGACACCGCGUGAGCGAAGAAGCCCUUUGGGGUGUAAAGCUCUGUCAGCUGGAACGAAAAAAAUGAUGGUACCAGCAGAGGAAGCAUCGGCUAACUACGUGCCAGCAGCCGCGGUAAGACGUAGGAUGCAAGCGUUGUCCGGAUUUAUUGGGCGUAAAGAGUUCGUAGGUGGUUUGUUAAGUUUGGUGUUAAAGAUUGGGGCUCAACCCUGAAACUGCACUGAAUACUGGCAGACUCGAGUGUGGUAGAGGCUAGUGGAAUUCCCAGUGUAGCGGUGAAAUGCGUAGAUAUUCGGAAGAACACCAGUGGCGAAGGCGACUCACUGGCCCGAUACUGACGCUGAGGCGCGAAAGCGUGGGGAGCAAACAGGAUUAGAUACCCUGGUAGUCCACGCUGUAAACGAUGAGUGCUAGUUGUCGGCAUGCAUGCAUGUCGGUGACGCAGCUAACGCAUUAAGCACUCCGCCUGGGGAGUACGGUCGCAAGAUUAAAACUCAAAGGAAUUGACGG
Molecule: ribosomal RNA, 563 nt
Filed under: uncultured bacterium
Lineage: Bacteria
Description: partial 16S ribosomal RNA
Rfam family: Bacterial small subunit ribosomal RNA
Source: RNAcentral